GUUUGAUUGUGAUCCCGAAAAAACAAUCGGAGUGGUUCUAGUCGGUGAGCCUGGGAAAACCGACCGAGUUCGUUGUAACCUCGUAAAACAACAAGUUGGGUUGUGAGCUUGUAAAACAACCGGCUGUAAUUGGUAGGAUUAUAGUGAAAUUCCCAAGAAGUCUUGGGGAGUGGAUGUAGGUGCUGGGGUGCACCGAACCACUAUAUGUUUGCUGUGUUUGUAAUGCUUUUUGUCAUUAUCUAACUCACACACUUACUCAUUUAGAUAAAUUGCUUGCUUAACUAUUAUCCGCGAAUUCUUUAGUUGCAAGCAUACUCAAUCAAGUCACAUUCUAUACAUCAAACUGUCGCUAAGUUUAACUUUCACUGCGCAUAUAUACAACUUAGCAUAAUUAAUCAAAAAGUACUAGAAGUAGCUUAAAAGUUUUAAAAGACCCAAUUCACCCCCCCCCC
This 452-nucleotide long non-coding RNA is filed under the name Phoenix dactylifera (date palm). RNAcentral's name for it is "long non-coding RNA (PDAC_LNC019766)". Lineage: Eukaryota; Viridiplantae; Streptophyta; Magnoliopsida; Arecales; Arecaceae. The record is from RNAcentral.